RNAcentral lists this long non-coding RNA (356 nucleotides) under Serinus canaria (Common canary). RNAcentral's name for it is "lncRNA (ENSSCAG00000013820.1)". Lineage: Eukaryota; Metazoa; Chordata; Aves; Passeriformes; Fringillidae. The record is from RNAcentral.
GGCGGAUGGACGGGCGGACGGACGGAGGGAGCGGGAGGGGAAAGCGUCGCUGUGGCUGCGAGGAGCGAAGUAAGGGCAGAAACUUGUCCGCUGGCAGCCGGGCGCGCCGCGGAGACAAAGUCCUCGGGGCUGCUCCGCACCCGCGGACAGAUUGCCAGUGCUACGAAAAUAGGGACUUCCAGCAAGAAGUUCUUCAGCUUGUGAAGCCACAAGGACACCUCAGCCCCUUUCUGUGCUUUCACUCAUGAUGCAGAGGAAACAAGACAUUUAGAGAGCAAAUAAGUUAUGCAAGGGGAAGCUGAUCAAGGGAUCUCAAGAGUUGCAGCUUCCUGGGAUUGUCUGUCAGAGGAAUGAAG